Molecule: transfer RNA, 77 nt
Filed under: Neolewinella aurantiaca
Lineage: Bacteria; Pseudomonadati; Bacteroidota; Saprospiria; Saprospirales; Lewinellaceae
Description: Lewinella sp. SSH13 tRNA-Phe
Rfam family: tRNA
About the family: Transfer RNA (tRNA) molecules are approximately 80 nucleotides in length.
Source: RNAcentral
GGUGUCGUAGCUCAGUUGGUAGCAGCGUCUGUUUGAAGCACAGAAGGUCGGAGGUUCAAAUCCUUCCGGCACCACAA